GGGGGAACCCUGAUCCAGCAUGCCGCGUGUGUGAAGAAGGCCUUCGGGUUGUAAAGCACUUUUGUCCGGAAAGAAAACUUCUGCCCUAAUACGGCGGGAGGAUGACGGUACCGGAAGAAUAAGCACCGGCUAACUACGUGCCAGCAGCCGCGGUAAUACGUAGGGUGCGAGCGUUAAUCGGAAUUACUGGGCGUAAAGCGUGCGCAGGCGGUUCGUUAAGACAGAUGUGAAAUCCCCGGGCUUAACCUGGGAACUGCAUUUGUGACUGGCGAGCUAGAGUAUGGCAGAGGGGGGUAGAAUUCCACGUGUAGCAGUGAAAUGCGUAGAGAUGUGGAGGAAUACCGAUGGCGAAGGCAGCCCCCUGGGCCAAUACUGACGCUCAUGCACGAAAGCGUGGGGAGCAAACAGGAUUAGAUACCCUGGUAGUCCACGCCCUAAACGACGUCAACUAGUUGUUGGGUCUUCAUUGACUUAGUAACGUAGCUAACGCGUGAAGUUGACCGCCUGGGGAGUACGGUCGCAAGAUUAAAACUCAAAAAAAUUGACGGA
Molecule: ribosomal RNA, 549 nt
Filed under: uncultured bacterium
Lineage: Bacteria
Description: bacterial SSU rRNA
Rfam family: Bacterial small subunit ribosomal RNA
Source: RNAcentral